Meriones unguiculatus (Mongolian gerbil) is the source of this 105-nucleotide small nuclear RNA. Lineage: Eukaryota; Metazoa; Chordata; Mammalia; Rodentia; Muridae. The record is from RefSeq and is a predicted model, not a curated record.
AUUACUUAGAGGGUAAAGAAUUGUAUGUGAUUAUUGAAACAAUAAAGAAGAUUAGCAUGGCCCCUGUACAAAGACAUGAAAAUUUGUGAAACAUUUCAUAUUAGG